Non-coding RNA from Sesamum indicum (sesame), 1341 nucleotides. The record is from RefSeq and is a predicted model, not a curated record. NCBI's taxonomy places the organism in Eukaryota, Viridiplantae, Streptophyta, Magnoliopsida, Lamiales, Pedaliaceae.
CUUCAGAAGGCAUAUUCCGUUGAUUUCAGACCACUCAAUGUACUGCGCGCUGCUGCAUUCCAAGGGGCUCAUUAUAUUUCACCAUUGAAAAGGCAAAUAAUCUCGUAUGCAUCUGGUAACCAAGCUUGUACACUCGUUUAAGGAAGGUUCGGAGGAAUGGUCCAAGAAGGCGGUAGAGCUUGAGUCAUGAAGACUUUAGAAUUUGGUUGUGGAAUUUCAAAUAUCUGUUUGUCUUAUGUCUUAAUGCAUGCUGGACGCAAAUGGAAGGUGUAUGAGGUGGCAAAGACGGUCUUUGAAAACAAUGACAUAGAAACUAGAAAGUCUUUGCAAAGUGAUAAUGGUGGUAAAAGGUCGAUCAUUUUCUUGGCUUUCACUCUUCAUUUCAUCCAUCAAGCAUUCCUUUAUAUGUUUGCAUUGUUAUCUUGAGUUCUUGAUAUUUAUCAUCUACAUUAUGGGGUUGUGAUUUUCUUUUUAUCUAUGGCAAGUUUGUUCCUUUGAUAAAUAGUGUUGGAUGCUUUUUAAGUGGUUUUCAAUUACUUUACUACUGUGGUGUGGGUGUUUCUCAUCUUGUUUUAUUUGGUUGUGCUUUUAUGUUAUCUCAUUCAAGUAAACGAUGUGUAUUGUUCUUUGUGGUAUAUGAAGCUCUGUGAGACAUAUUUUGUUGUUGGGAUGUCUGUAAUUGUUUAGCAUUUUAGGAUUAGACUCUUGAUUCAAUUGAAAUUACAUGAAACUUCUCAUAUUCUAAUUUUGAUUUGAGAUAAAACCAUUUCGAAAGUAAAGAAUUCCAUGACAUAUAUGUAGUGUUAAUUAACACAUAGGAACCAGAGGGUAACUUCUUUUUAAGUUUUCAUUUAUCUUUUGUUAUCUAAUCAAACUACUUUUGUUUUGUUUUCUUUUGCCAGUUACUAUCAAGCUACUUCUGUUUAUAUUAUUUUUUUAGUAAUUUGACAAAUAAAUGUGAUUUAGGAAGUCAUAAGAUUGAGACAUGAAUGUGCACUAGCGUUAUGUGAUUGCUGCUUUGAUUAACUGUGGAGUUGUUGAGGCAUAAUUUCAUGCAUUUUGAAUUGCUUUGAAACAGAGUUGGAAUAUCUUUGCUUCUACUAAAUCUUAGGAUUCUUGUGAGAUCAUAUUUGUUUGCUAAAACUCUACCCGAUUGAUCCUUAUAUCCCUAACAUGGGACAUGCAUCCAUUUUGAAAAAUUCAAAGGCCCUUCCCCUUCCAGAAAAAAAAGAAAGAAAGAAAGAAAAGUAAGAAAAAGGAAAUUACAUCUACUCCGCUGGUUUAGGUCACUUAGUAACUGGGUAACUUCAUCACAAAUGUUGUUAUUCACGUAAAACGGUG